CUGAUGGCGUUGCCCCAUGUAUCGUAACCUGAAUAUCAUUGGAUUUUGAACAUGGAAGUGAGACCCCAUUUUAAUGCUCCAGACUUGGUGUGACCCUAGAGUGAAAAUCUGGAGGUUGCAGGAGAUGUUGAGCGGGGAGGAGGCUUCUGACAGACAGUUUGGACAAUCAUUAUUGUGCAGAGAGCACUUCAAGCAGCUAAAUACUUGCAAUAAGCUCAACAGAAAUGUAAUGUAUUGUGAAGUCUACAUUGUAAAUUGGACUCGUGUAUAAUUAACUCUUAAUAAUUCUCUUUAUAACUCUCCAUAAUUCUUCACUAAAUAAAAUCUUGAAGUUUCA
Molecule: long non-coding RNA, 337 nt
Organism: Carcharodon carcharias (great white shark)
Lineage: Eukaryota; Metazoa; Chordata; Chondrichthyes; Lamniformes; Lamnidae
Exons: 2
Source: RefSeq, a predicted model, not a curated record